RNAcentral lists this non-coding RNA (29 nucleotides) under Mus musculus (house mouse). Lineage: Eukaryota; Metazoa; Chordata; Mammalia; Rodentia; Muridae. The record is from RNAcentral.
UAAGAGUUCUUGGGCACAUUCAGAGAGUC